GCGAGGUGAUGAUUAAUGUAUCUGUCAAUCCCCUGAUGUCACAAGGUGAAGACACACAUACAUCCCGACAGGCUCUGAUCGC
Molecule: small nucleolar RNA, 82 nt
Organism: Lolium rigidum
Lineage: Eukaryota; Viridiplantae; Streptophyta; Magnoliopsida; Poales; Poaceae
Product: small nucleolar RNA snoR14
Exons: 1
Source: RefSeq, a predicted model, not a curated record